RNAcentral lists this long non-coding RNA (269 nucleotides) under Salvia miltiorrhiza (redroot sage). RNAcentral describes it as "long non-coding RNA (SMIL_LNC005714)". The record is from RNAcentral. Lineage: Eukaryota; Viridiplantae; Streptophyta; Magnoliopsida; Lamiales; Lamiaceae.
GUUGAUGUUGAGCUCGUGUUCCAAUACUCCGUGGAGCGGGGAGAGGGCGGGGUCGGGGUCGGGGAGGUCGUGGAGUUCGAUCGCGUGGGGUGGCGGGGUGGCGGCUUCGAUGAAGGAGAAGGCUUUUGAGGUGGGGUUGUAGUGGAGUUUGGCGGCGAGGAGCGGGUGGCGUGUUUGGAGGCUGUGGAGGAUGCCGGCGAAGGCUGCGGAGACCUGUGGCGGCGGUUUGGAUAUUUGGAGUGCUAGCACGGUGAUGCCGGUGCCGGACG